GGGGCUGUAGCUCAAUUGGGAGAGCGCUUGACUGGCAGUCAAGAGGUAGUCGGUUCGAUCCCGUCCAGCUCCACCA
RNAcentral lists this transfer RNA (76 nucleotides) under Geobacter sp. Its description in RNAcentral is "tRNA-Ala". It matches the Rfam family "tRNA". From Rfam's summary of the family: Transfer RNA (tRNA) molecules are approximately 80 nucleotides in length. Their secondary structure includes four short double-helical elements and three loops (D, anti-codon, and T loops). RNAcentral also lists the same sequence under 3 other names. The record is from RNAcentral. Lineage: Bacteria; Pseudomonadati; Thermodesulfobacteriota; Desulfuromonadia; Geobacterales; Geobacteraceae.